GGAGAGAUGGCCGAGUGGUUGAAAGGCGUAGCAUUGGAAAUGCUAUGUAAACUUUUUUUGUUUACCGCGGGUUCGAAUCCCUC
Molecule: transfer RNA, 83 nt
Filed under: Cuscuta bonafortunae
Lineage: Eukaryota; Viridiplantae; Streptophyta; Magnoliopsida; Solanales; Convolvulaceae
Description: tRNA-Ser
Rfam family: tRNA
About the family: Transfer RNA (tRNA) molecules are approximately 80 nucleotides in length. Their secondary structure includes four short double-helical elements and three loops (D, anti-codon, and T loops).
Source: RNAcentral